ACUUGGGCCAUCUGGCUAGGACAUCUGUCAACCUCUUGAACUCCAGGUUCGACGGGGCUGAUUUCUGGCUGGGUAGGUUGCUGUGCCCUUCCUCCUUCUUGGUGCAUAUGUCUCACUGCCAAAGCUGCAUACCCUGAUGGCAAGAUGGGCCUUUCCCCAGAGAGGAGGAUGGUCCUCAGGUCAAGGACAUAGGAGCAAAGGGACAGGGGAAAUCUGUUUGGAUAGCAUCACAGGUCUAAGAAUUUCUUCAUUCUUUGAUAUUUGAAAAAAAUAUCUGACUAUGCAGAAAAUUCCAGUUGAGAAAUUCAGAAGUUC
This 315-nucleotide small RNA is filed under the name Octodon degus (degu). RNAcentral describes it as "7SK RNA (ENSODEG00000023960.1)". The stretch from base 5 to 197 matches the Rfam family "7SK RNA". From Rfam's summary of the family: 7SK was discovered as an abundant small nuclear RNA in the mid-70s but a possible function has only recently been suggested. Lineage: Eukaryota; Metazoa; Chordata; Mammalia; Rodentia; Octodontidae. The record is from RNAcentral.